RNAcentral lists this transfer RNA (71 nucleotides) under Loxodonta africana (African savanna elephant). It matches the Rfam family "tRNA". Rfam says of the family: Transfer RNA (tRNA) molecules are approximately 80 nucleotides in length. Their secondary structure includes four short double-helical elements and three loops (D, anti-codon, and T loops). Lineage: Eukaryota; Metazoa; Chordata; Mammalia; Proboscidea; Elephantidae. The record is from Rfam by way of RNAcentral.
GUAUUGCUGAUUCAGUAGUAGAAUUCUGCCCUUCCAUGUGAGAAACCCAGGUUCAAUUCCUGGCCAACGCA